GUACAAGCAGUGUAAGACCAAAAUUCAUUUGGGCUCACUUAAGGCCCACUCUGGGUGUGUAAGGCCAGAAGGGGUGUGGAGAUCAAGUUCAAUGGGCCUGAGUGGUGGACGGCCCACUACGAAAUUCUGGAGGUAAUGGAAUUCAUCAUUUCACUUCAACACAUCCGGACUUACCUCAUACCAUUCCUCUACUCUAAAUCUACCUUGCCGGAAAACGAAAACCUCCGCCGCACCGGAAAUCAUCACCAGCGGCGGAGGAGAUCCUAAAUUCACGUAACUUGUGCCCACAGAUUUGUCUCACUCUCCUCUACCUGAAUCUACCUAUCUCCUACUCCAAUUUCUUCGUUAUUGGCCUAACCGAAAAAAAUCAUUCUAAGAACCCUAGGUAAAAACUUUGAUUAAUUCCUCGUAUGGAGGUAAUCAAAUCCACAAGUUUGGGAUAAACACUCACCUAAUCAAGGCCUAUACAACGGUGACAAACGCGAGUCAAAUAUGAGAAUUCUCACGUACCUUCAACGUCGACGAUGGAGCAUACGGUGGACGUCGUUUGGAUAUUGAUCCGGUACAGUGUGAUUCGUAGAUCACGAAGAUUACUGAAGCAACAUACACCUCAAAGUAAAUAUUGAAUUCCGGUUUGGACGGAAGUAGCCAACGGACUCGUCGGAGAAGACGACUGACGCAACAGUGGCAUCAACAAAUGCGACUCUCAUAAUUUUGGUGUUGCCACUUCUCUUCGCCGACGUUUGCAUUUGGCUUGUGCGUUUGCAUCGUGUGGCUUUGUUCGUUGUCAUCGGAUUGUUUUGGCUUCGUCCCAUUGUAGGUUUACUGCACCUGCGUUUUGUUACCGUCGGAUUCACAUAGCCGUUUUCCGCAUUUCCAGUUGUUACUUCAUGUUGGUGUGUUGCUUUUGGUUGUGCAGCUUGUAGCUUGUAGUUUGGAUGCUGUUAUUGUUACGUUUCCGUCAAUGAUGUUUUCUGCUGAACAAAGUUCUUCCAAUGGUAUUUUUCCUUAUUUUAUUUGGAUAUGUUAUGGACUUGGGUAUUGUAUAUUGGUAAUUAAAUUUGGAUAAGCUAAAUGGAUUUUGGUUA
Molecule: long non-coding RNA, 1088 nt
Organism: Lathyrus oleraceus (garden pea)
Lineage: Eukaryota; Viridiplantae; Streptophyta; Magnoliopsida; Fabales; Fabaceae
Exons: 3
Source: RefSeq, a predicted model, not a curated record